GGGUCGGUACCAAAGCGGUCAACUGGAGCAGACUGUAAAUCUGCUGGCUUACGCCUUCGGGGGUUCGAAUCCCUCCCGGCCCACCA
This 86-nucleotide transfer RNA is filed under the name Candidatus Kerfeldbacteria bacterium CG_4_10_14_0_8_um_filter_42_10. RNAcentral's name for it is "tRNA-Tyr". It matches the Rfam family "tRNA". From Rfam's summary of the family: Transfer RNA (tRNA) molecules are approximately 80 nucleotides in length. Their secondary structure includes four short double-helical elements and three loops (D, anti-codon, and T loops). The record is from RNAcentral. Lineage: Bacteria; Candidatus Kerfeldiibacteriota.